Molecule: small nuclear RNA, 108 nt
Filed under: Marmota marmota marmota (Alpine marmot)
Lineage: Eukaryota; Metazoa; Chordata; Mammalia; Rodentia; Sciuridae
Also listed under: 1 other name
Source: RNAcentral
GUGCUCCCUUUGGCACAACAUAUACUAAAAUUGGAACUAUGCAGAGAAAGAUUAGCAUGGCCCUUAAAUAAGAAUGGCAUGCAAAUUUGUGAAGCAUUCCAUAUUUUU